This 468-nucleotide ribosomal RNA is filed under the name uncultured bacterium. Its description in RNAcentral is "partial 16S ribosomal RNA". It matches the Rfam family "Bacterial small subunit ribosomal RNA", at positions 28 to 507 of the family's 1533-position model. The record is from RNAcentral.
GACGAACGCUGGCGGCGUGCUUAACACAUGCAAGUCGAACGGAAAGGCCCUGCGUUUGUGGGGUGCUCGAGUGGCGAACGGGUGAGUAACACGUGAGUAACCUGCCCUUGACUUUGGGAUAACUUCAGGAAACUGGGGCUAAUACCGGAUAGGAGCUCCUGCUGCAUGGUGGGGGUUGGAAAGUUUCGGCGGUUGGGGAUGGACUCGCGGCUUAUCAGCUUGUUGGGGGGGUAGUGGCUUACCAAGGCUUUGACGGGUAGCCGGCCUGAGAGGGUGACCGGCCACAUUGCGCCUGAGAUACGGCCCAGACUCCUACGGGAGGCAGCAGUGGGGAAUAUUGCACAAUGGGCGGAAGCCUGAUGCAGCAACGCCGCGUGCGGGAUGACGGCCUUCGGGUUGUAAACCGCUUUCGCCUGUGACGAAGCGUGAGUGACGGUAAUGGGUAAAGAAGCACCGGCUAACUACGUG